GAUGAAGAACGCAGCGAAAUGCGAUAAGUAGUGUGAAUUGCAGAAUUCAGUGAAUCAUCGAAUCUUUGAACGCACAUUGCGCCCGCCAGUAUUCUGGCGGGCAUGCCUGUUCGAGCGUCAUUUCAACCCUCAGGCCCCCAGUGCCUGGUGUUGGGGAUCGGCCCAGCCUUCCUGUAAGGCCGCCGGCCCCGAAAUCUAGUGGCGGUCUCGCUGUAGUCCUCCUCUGCGUAGUAGCACAACCUCGCAGUUGGAACGCGGCGGUGGCCAUGCCGUUAAACACCCCACUUCUGAAAGUUGACCUCGGAUCAGGUAGGAAUACCCGCUGAACUUAAGCAUAUCAAUAAGCGGAGGA
This 352-nucleotide unclassified non-coding RNA is filed under the name soil metagenome. Its description in RNAcentral is "partial contains 5.8S ribosomal RNA, internal transcribed spacer 2, and large subunit ribosomal RNA". The stretch from base 1 to 120 matches the Rfam family "5.8S ribosomal RNA", at positions 35 to 154 of the family's 154-position model. The record is from RNAcentral.